This 1055-nucleotide long non-coding RNA is filed under the name Monodelphis domestica (gray short-tailed opossum). RNAcentral describes it as "lncRNA (ENSMODG00000039910.1)". Lineage: Eukaryota; Metazoa; Chordata; Mammalia; Didelphimorphia; Didelphidae. The record is from RNAcentral.
UAAAAGCAAGAUUGGCCCAUACACAAUAUAUCAUGGAGUAGCUCUAGUGAAUUUGAAAUUCUUAUAUUCUCCCAGAUCUUCUGAGUUUUCUAAGUAGAGCAGGCAAUUCUCUGGUUAAUUUUGACCUUAUGCUAAAUUUGUCCAGUGUUAUAAUUCCAGGCCAUUAGAGUGGAAGAGGAACAUGAAAUUAUGCUUUUGACAAAAUAGAAAUAAGAAUAAUUCAUGAAUACCAUUUCAUUUUCCCCUUUUUAUUUUGAGCACAGAAUUCAUUCUCAAAAAUUCAGGGAGGAAAAAGGAAAGAAGCUCUUUGCCUCAAAUUUGUUAAAUACUUAAUAUCUUAGAUUCAUUUCCCACAACACUGAUUCCCUAUACCUCCUUCCAUUUGGGCCUUGGGUUCUCUUUGUGAAGACAAAGAAAAUGCCCUUAUUGUUACCAAAUAACAGAAAACCAUGUAAAACAGGUUUACAAGUCCAUUGGUUCCAUCUCUCUGACUACAUACAGUCAGUAUACCUAAAGCAACCUUUUAUAGUUCUAUAAUUUUUUUUUUAUCCAUAGCCAUAUCAAUUUACAAGAUUCUGACCAUUUGUUAAAAAAGAAAAUAGUUACACACACAUAAUAUACACAAAUAUACACACAUACAAGUGAAUAAACAUUAACAAUAUUUGUAUAUUAAUCUUGAUUUCCUAGGAACCAGACUUAAAAGGCUGUCCCUAAGAUAACUUCUAUUGUAUAUAUGACUCAUUAGUGUGUGAAAGAGACUCCCAAAUGGAUCUUCAAGCUCCAUGAGAAGGAUAUACCAACAGAGCAACACAAACAUGUCUUGUGGUCAUGAUGACUGGAAUCCAUUAGAGAGGAAUGGUGAAUGGAUGAAGAGAAAUUUGAGAGAAAUCAGAGGAACUCUCAAGGUAAUAGCAAGGUGGCAGUUAAAUGUAAUACUAGAUAGAUUGUUGCCCUUAGAAAGAAGAUCAGAAUCCAUAUCCUGCCUCAAACCCUUACUAAUUGUUUUACUUGGGCAGGUCAAUUAACUUCUCUCACUUUUGUCCUCUAUAAAAUGG